GAUGAACGCUGGCGGCGUGCCUAAUACAUGCAAGUCGAGCGAACAGACGAGGAGCUUGCUCCUCUUACGUUAGCGGCGGACGGGUGAGUAACACGUGGAUAACCUACCUAUAAGACUGGGAUAACUUCGGGAAACCGGAGCUAAUACCGGAUAACAUGUUGAACCGCAUGGUUCAACAGUGAAAGACGGUCUUGCUGUCACUUAUAGAUGGAUCCGCGCCGCAUUAGCUAGUUGGUAAGGUAACGGCUUACCAAGGCAACGAUGCGUAGCCGACCUGAGAGGGUGAUCGGCCACACUGGAACUGAGACACGGUCCAGACUCCUACGGGAGGCAGCAGUAGGGAAUCUUCCGCAAUGGGCGAAAGCCCGACGGAGCAACGCCGCGUGAGUGAAGAAGGUCUUCGGAUCGUAAAACUCUGUUAUUAGGGAAGAACAAAUGUGUAAGUAACUAUGCACGUCUUGACGGUACCUAAUCAGAAAGCCACGGCUAACUACGUG
RNAcentral lists this ribosomal RNA (497 nucleotides) under uncultured bacterium. Its description in RNAcentral is "partial 16S ribosomal RNA". It matches the Rfam family "Bacterial small subunit ribosomal RNA", at positions 28 to 507 of the family's 1533-position model. The record is from RNAcentral.